CAAGAGAUAGUUUAGGUUCCAGAAUUCUGGCUUUGGAGGCCAGGGGCAAGGGUGAAAAUCCCUUUUUCUUGAC
This 73-nucleotide transfer RNA is filed under the name Andrias davidianus (Chinese giant salamander). RNAcentral's name for it is "tRNA-Pro". It matches the Rfam family "tRNA". Rfam says of the family: Transfer RNA (tRNA) molecules are approximately 80 nucleotides in length. Their secondary structure includes four short double-helical elements and three loops (D, anti-codon, and T loops). The record is from RNAcentral. Lineage: Eukaryota; Metazoa; Chordata; Amphibia; Caudata; Cryptobranchidae.